AUUGAACGCUGGCGGCAUGCCUUACACAUGCAAGUCGAACGGCAGCACGGGUGCUUGCACCUGGUGGCGAGUGGCGAACGGGUGAGUAAUACAUCGGAACAUGUCCUGUAGUGGGGGAUAGCCCGGCGAAAGCCGGAUUAAUACCGCAUACGAUCUACGGAUGACAGCGGGGGACCUUCGGGCCUCGCGCUAUAGGGUUGGCCGAUGGCUGAUUAGCUAGUUGGUGGGGUAAAGGCCUACCAAGGCGACGAUCAGUAGCUGGUCUGAGAGGCCGACCAGCCACACUGGGACUGAGACACGGCCCAGACUCCUACGGGAGGCAGCAGUGGGGAAUUUUCGACAAUGGGCGAAAGCCUGAUGCAGCAAUGCCGCGUGUGUGAAGAAGGCCUUCGGGUUGUAAAGCACUUUUGUCCGGAAAGAAAUCCUUGGCCCUAAUACGGUCGGGGGAUGACGGUACCGGAAGAAUAAGCACCGGCUAACUACGUG
This 486-nucleotide ribosomal RNA is filed under the name uncultured bacterium. RNAcentral's name for it is "partial 16S ribosomal RNA". It matches the Rfam family "Bacterial small subunit ribosomal RNA", at positions 30 to 507 of the family's 1533-position model. The record is from RNAcentral.